AGAACCCCACCGAGGCUGAGCUGCAGGACAUGAUCAACGAGGUUGACGCAGAUGGUAAUGGAACCAUUGACUUCCCCGAGUUCUUGAAUCUCAUGGCCAGGAAGAUGAAGGACACUGAUUCCGAGGAGGAGCUAAAAGAGGCAUUCCGUGUUUUCGACAAGGACCAGAACGGUUUCAUUUCUGCUGCUGAGCUUCGCCAUGUCAUGACUAACCUAGGAGAGAAGCUGACCGACGAGGAAGUUGAUGAAAUGAUCCGAGAGGCUGAUGUGGAUGGUGACGGUCAAAUUAACUACGACGAGUUCGUUAAGGUCAUGAUGGCCAAGUGAUUGCACCCCCCACCCCUACACCCCCACCCACCCCACCUCUGAUAAAUCUUGAAAAGUUUUUUCUCGAAAGGUAAAAACUGAUGAACAGGGUUGAUUAAUAUUUCACUAGUUUCCUUUAAUUUAUUUUUUUUGGUUUGGUUGUUUGGUUUUGUGGUUGUUCAGUUCUUGAGUAGUGAAAACUAUGUGUUUGUAAUGGUGGUGGAAUUGGUUGUUUUAUUUUCUGAUUCAUGUAUUUUUGUGAUGCGGAUUUCAAGCAUUUUCUAGUUCGUUUUCUUUUCCUUCGAAUAUAUCAUUCUCGUUUGGGGUUUGUUGUUACCUAGGAAAGACUGUUUUACUCGUAUUACGUUCGGGCUUUAUGCAAGUGUUUCAUGUUGAAUCGGGGAUUUUGAUCUUGGUAUUAUGCCUCGUGUUUGCCUAUGUUCUAUCCUGGUGAAAAGCUCGCGAUUAGGUUUUUAUGUCCAGGAUCCAAUUUCAAUUCUCAGUCACUCAUGCAUGUUCCUUCUAAUCCAUAUUUGCUCCUUUGUAUUAUAGUUUACAAAAUAUUCGAUUAUUCAUUCGUCUAAGGGCGUAAAUGAGUUGAGGUCGAGUUGAGUUUGACAAAUUUGAUCGGCUCGAGCCCAAAUUAAAUUUGUUGAGCUCAAGCUCAUUUAAAGUUUUACUUCUAGUUUUUAUCUUAUUAUUAUUGUAGUAAUAUUUAUGCUAUAGUUAAAUGUAAUAAAUAAUAUACUAUCAUUCUGAUUCAUUAAAUUGGGCCAAUAAAUCCCAAGCUAGUCCACGAAUAAGGAACAAACAAGAAGCCCACAAAGUAAUAAAUUUUAAUUUUCUCCCAAUUAAAAAAGAAAAAAUUAUUGAGCAGCUUAGAGAGUGUGACGUGGCAGAGGCACGAAUGGAUGAUGGAUGAUUAAUUGAAGAGGGCCGCCAGCGUGUCGAUACCGCGUGACAACCGCGUUUCGCUAAUGGAAGAGAGAGAAAUAAGGAUCCCCUUCCCUUUUCUAAUUUUCAAUUUAAAAAUUAAAACAACCCCACCACUAGUCAAUGGGUUUUAAUAGUCUACGACUACGACACACGUACAAUCAUCAUUUUUAUUCCAUAUCAUAUUUUUUGGAAUAAUAGUUUAAUAUUUGAACUUAAUACUUUUGCAUUUUGAGUUUCAAAAAAUACAUUUUAUUACAUUGUUCAAUUUCGUAUUUCUUUUGUUAACAAAGUUUGUUUGUAAUUUUGUUUUAGCGAAGAACUAUUAAAUUAUAUUUUCUAAUAGAGUUCGAGUUCAAGAUUGAACCAAUUCUUAUGAAUAUUUAUAACCGAUGAAUUCAUAGAUAACUAAUGUAAUUUUGAUGAAUGAAUAUCUAUUCUUGUGCAAUAACAUGUAUAUCCAUUUAUAGGAUACAAACCACGUACGUGUGACAAAAUAAUGUGUCUUUGCGUACUCUCACUCCACUAAUUAAGUCAGUCCUACGAGCGCAGAUAUUCUGUAUCAUCAAAAGAAAUACAUCUUCAAAUUUGGUUCGUUGAUUUAUAAAACGGAUUUUUAAUAAUUAACAUAGCCUUGAUAUAGAGAGUGUUUGGCUAAGCUUAUACCCUGUUAAAACGAACGUUUAUAAGCUCCUACAAAUUAUUUGGUAAUUAUUUAAAAAAAAAAUAAAAAAAAUAAGCAGUUGAAAUAGCCAAUAAGAUAUUAAAAAAAAAAAAAAAAACUAUCUCUAAAAUUAGCUUAUAAGAUCACUAUUCAAACACUUUAAAAUUAAUUCUAAAACUAAGACGUAACAACUUAUCAACUCUUAAGAUAGCUACGUUAUCAAAUGUAAUAGCUUAUUGGUUGUUUAAAAUAAAUUUAGCCAAACAUAUUUUCGGUUCUAAGUCGAACACAAAAUUGUCAAUUUUCUAAAGUGCUAUUUGUAAUAAAAUAUAAAAUUUUCCAAUAAGAAACUAACAAGGGAGAAAAAGGAAAUACUAGAAAAAAGAAUAUUACAUAACAUACAAUAAUUUGAAACGAAGAAGGUGAAAAAAAGAGGGAUUACGAAAAUAGUGGAUGUAAUUAGUUUGUUAAUUACCACAUUUCUCUUUGCCGUUGAAUUGUGUCUCUUUUGUAGCUCAUAAAUAACGCCUCUUUCAUUCUUCCUACAAAUACGACCCCCAAUCACCUCUCUCCAGAAUCAUCUCUCUCUUUCUCUCUCUAGUUCUUCUGUAAAUCAAAGGAAAAAAGGAAACAAAGCCGCUGAAUUUCGAAGCAAUCAACAAAAGGAGAAAUGGCGGAUCAGUUGACCGACGACCAGAUCUCUGAGUUUAAGGAAGCUUUCAGCCUUUUCGACAAGGAUGGCGAUGGUUCGAUUCGAUCCGAUUAUGUUUUUUUUUUUUCAUUAUAAACUGCAUAAUUUCUUCUAUGAAAACGUGUUAUACAUCUCUGUGUGUGUGUGUGUGUUUGGAUAUGGUUUUUUUCUGUUGUUUUGUUUAGAUCUGAUUUCCUUUUUGAAGCGGUAUUUAGCUGUAGGAUUUUCCUUUGAUAUGAAGAAUUUUCCAAUUUUACUGCAAUUGUUCUUUUGUUAUGUGAAUUAAUGCAUUUUGAUUCAGCGAUGUUUUUUUUUUUUAAAUAAUUAUUUUUAUUAAAUUUUAUUCUGUUCUGUAUUUAGUUAAGGAAAUUUGAGGUAUUAUUUGAAAUUGAUGUGAAUUUAUCUCAGGAAAUAUAUUAUCUGUUGAGGUGAAAUCUUCCAUGAUGAAUUUAAUCAUCUUUGAUUUACGAUGAUAGAUUUAUUCGUAAGGCUUACAGAUUAAUUUGGUUUGAUACAUGAAGAGAGAAACUGUUUGGGGGUGAGAGAGAGGUUAAAUACCACGAUUCUUCGUGUUAUUCCGACCUUUUCUUGGUUGGGUCAUAGGUAACACAAUUUUGGUUUACUGUAGGGAUCAAAUCUGUAUCUUGAUUUUGCGUUUAGAAAAUCCUUUAUUUUGGAUUCGUAACACGCAGAUGAGAAUGCCAAGUGGAAUACUGUGUCGGAAAAUGCUAUUCCCAAUUGCAAAAUCUUGUUUAUGAUUGUGGGGUUCGUUUUUUUAACUGGCGUUUGUAUUAAGUAUAUAAAUUGAUGCGCCUUUAAUUGUUGUACUUGAUCUAGAUCACUUGAAUUUAUUGCAUCCGUUGCGGUGGUCAACAUCUGCUGUGUGUUUAUUAAGAUGCUAUCUGCUAACACAAUUCGACUUAACUUAUCGAAUUUCGAAUGUUCGAGUUUCGCAAUUAAUUUCAUUCAACAUUUGCAGGUUGCAUCACGACAAAGGAGCUCGGAACUGUGAUGAGAUCACUUGGGCAGAACCCCACCGAGGCUGAGCUUCAGGACAUGAUUAACGAGGUUGAUGCAGAUGGUAACGGAACAAUUGACUUCCCCGAGUUUUUGAACCUCAUGGCAAGGAAAAUGAAGGACACUGAUUCUGAGGAGGAACUAAAAGAGGCAUUCCGUGUGUUCGACAAGGACCAAAACGGUUUCAUUUCUGCUGCUGAGCUUCGCCAUGUCAUGACUAACCUAGGCGAGAAGCUUACCGAUGAAGAAGUCGAUGAAAUGAUCAGAGAAGCUGAUGUGGAUGGUGACGGUCAAAUCAACUACGAAGAGUUUGUUAAGGUUAUGAUGGCCAAGUGAUGC
This 3949-nucleotide long non-coding RNA is filed under the name Erythranthe guttata (spotted monkey flower). Its description in RNAcentral is "long non-coding RNA (EGUT_LNC001295)". Lineage: Eukaryota; Viridiplantae; Streptophyta; Magnoliopsida; Lamiales; Phrymaceae. The record is from RNAcentral.